CCUUACGGCCACACGAGUGUGAAUGCGCCAGAUCUCGUCUGAUCUCGGAAUCUAAACACACUUGGGUUCGAUCAGUACUUGGAUGGGAGACCACCUGGGAACAACGAGUGCUGUAAGCU
Molecule: ribosomal RNA, 119 nt
Filed under: Erpetoichthys calabaricus (reedfish)
Lineage: Eukaryota; Metazoa; Chordata; Cladistia; Polypteriformes; Polypteridae
Source: RNAcentral